This 76-nucleotide transfer RNA is filed under the name Pseudomonadales bacterium GWC2_63_15. Its description in RNAcentral is "tRNA-Thr". It matches the Rfam family "tRNA". Rfam says of the family: Transfer RNA (tRNA) molecules are approximately 80 nucleotides in length. Their secondary structure includes four short double-helical elements and three loops (D, anti-codon, and T loops). Lineage: Bacteria; Pseudomonadati; Pseudomonadota; Gammaproteobacteria; Pseudomonadales. The record is from RNAcentral.
GCCGCUUUAGCUCAUCCGGUAGAGCACAUCAUUCGUAAUGAUGGGGUGGCCCGUUCGAGUCGGGCAAGCGGCACCA